GAUGAACGCUGGCGGCGUGCUUAACACAUGCAAGUCGAACGGAAAGGCUCCUGCUUGCCGGGGUACUCGAGUGGCGAACGGGUGAGUAACACGUGGGUGAUCUGCCCUGCACUUCGGGAUAAGCCUGGGAAACUGGGUCUAAUACCGGAUAGGACGAUGGGAUGGAUGCCAUUGUGGAAAGUUUUUCGGUGUGGGUUGAGCUCGCGGGCUAUCAGCUUGUUGGUGGGGUAAUGGCCUACCAAGGCGUCGACGGGUAGUCGGCCUGGGAGGGUGUACGGCCACAUUGGGACUGAGAUACGGCCCAGACUCCUACGGGAGGCAGCAGUGGGGAAUAUUGCACAAUGGGCGCAAGCCUGAUGCAGCGGCGCCGCGUGGGGGAUGACGGCCUUCGGGUUGUAAACUCCUUUCGCUAGGGACGAAGCGCAAGUGACGGUACCUGGAGAAGAAGCACCGGCUAACUACGUG
Molecule: ribosomal RNA, 465 nt
Filed under: uncultured bacterium
Lineage: Bacteria
Description: partial 16S ribosomal RNA
Rfam family: Bacterial small subunit ribosomal RNA
Source: RNAcentral